GGGAGAGCUUGUCUCUCCCACCCUUGUAAUGCAGCCACUGACAGUGACAAGCCUGUGUAAAUGCAGAGUCAAA
RNAcentral lists this non-coding RNA (73 nucleotides) under unclassified sequences. The record is from RNAcentral.